GAUGAAGAACGUAGCGAAAUGCGAUAAGUAGUGUGAAUUGCAGAAUUCAGUGAAUCAUCGAAUCUUUGAACGCACAUUGCGCCCCUUGGUAUUCCAUGGGGCAUGCCUGUUCGAGCGUCAUUUGUACCUUCAAGCUUUGCUUGGUGUUGGGUGUUUGUCCUGAGGGACUCGCCUUAAAGUAAUUGGCAGCCAGUGUUUUGGUUUUGAAGCGCAGCACAAGUCGCGAUUCAAAGCUAUACGCCAGCUUCCACAAGCCUUUUUCACUUUUGAUCUCGGAUCAGGUAGGGAUACCCGCUGAACUUAAGCAUAUCAAUAAGCGGAGGA
This 324-nucleotide unclassified non-coding RNA is filed under the name soil metagenome. RNAcentral's name for it is "partial contains 5.8S ribosomal RNA, internal transcribed spacer 2, and large subunit ribosomal RNA". The stretch from base 1 to 120 matches the Rfam family "5.8S ribosomal RNA", at positions 35 to 154 of the family's 154-position model. The record is from RNAcentral.